UUUUAUGGAGAGUUUGAUCCUGGCUCAGGAUGAACGCUGGCGGCGUGCCUAAUACAUGCAAGUCGAGCGAACGGACGAGAAGCUUGCUUCUCUGAUGUUAGCGGCGGACGGGUGAGUAACACGUGGAUAACCUACCUAUAAGACUGGGAUAACUUCGGGAAACCGGAGCUAAUACCGGAUAAUAUUUUGAACCGCAUGGUUCAAAAGUGAAAGACGGUCUUGCUGUCACUUAUAGAUGGAUCCGCGCUGCAUUAGCUAGUUGGU
This 264-nucleotide ribosomal RNA is filed under the name Staphylococcus aureus. RNAcentral describes it as "partial 16S ribosomal RNA". It matches the Rfam family "Bacterial small subunit ribosomal RNA", at positions 1 to 253 of the family's 1533-position model. The record is from RNAcentral. Lineage: Bacteria; Bacillati; Bacillota; Bacilli; Caryophanales; Staphylococcaceae.